This 435-nucleotide ribosomal RNA is filed under the name Triticum aestivum (bread wheat). RNAcentral describes it as "partial small subunit ribosomal RNA". The record is from RNAcentral. Lineage: Eukaryota; Viridiplantae; Streptophyta; Magnoliopsida; Poales; Poaceae.
AUGACUUUAAAUAGCAUUGAACCCACUAUCUCGGAUUUCAAGGAAUUUGAUUAUGAUAAUUGUUCUUUAGAAGGUUGUAUUUCCUUGUUGCAAUCCGUUGUGAAUUCUCCUCAUGCUUAUAGUCAAAAUAAAGCUUUUACCAAACAUAUUGUUGAUGCCUUGAUGCAAUCUUAUGAUGAAAAACUUAAUUUGGAAGUUUCUAUACCUAGAAAACUUAAUGAUGAGUGGGAACCUACUAUAAAGAUUAAAAUUAAAGAUCAUGAGUGCUUUGCUUUGUGUGAUUUGGGUGCUAGUGUUUCCACGAUUCCGAAAACUUUAUGUGAUAUUCUAGGUUUCCAUGAUCUUGAUGAUUGCUCUUUAAAUUUGCACCUUGCGGAUCCACCAUUAAAAAGACAAUGGGAAGGAUCAAUGAUGUUCUCAUUGUUGCAAAUAUAA